UACGUAGGGUGCGAGCGUUAAUCGGAAUUACUGGGCGUAAAGCGUGCGCAGGCGGUUCGUUGUGUCGGCGGUGAAAGCCCCGGGCUCAACCUGGGAGUGGCCGUUGAAACUGGCGAACUGGAGUGUGGCAGAGGGGGGUGGAAUUCCACGUGUAGCAGUGAAAUGCGUAGAGAUGUGGAGGAACACCGAUGGCGAAGGCAGCCCCCUGGGCUAACACUGACGCUCAUGCACGAAAGCGUGGGGAGCAAACAGG
RNAcentral lists this ribosomal RNA (253 nucleotides) under uncultured bacterium. Its description in RNAcentral is "partial 16S ribosomal RNA". It matches the Rfam family "Bacterial small subunit ribosomal RNA", at positions 524 to 776 of the family's 1533-position model. The record is from RNAcentral.